CUGGCACCACGUGCCUACGUCACCUACUACCAGGCUCGGGGACUAAGUGGGCACACUUCACCUUGCGGUGAAUAUGCUUGCUUUUUAAAAGACUAUACUUUUUAGAAAAGUAAAGUGGGCACACUUCACCAAGAAAGAAAUUUUUUUUAAUCAAGAGCGCCAUGCAUUCUUCGAACAACCUGCUUCUUCGAUGUCAAUGUUGAUCAACUGUCUUUUGAGUUGGUCAAAAUACCGUUGCAACUGUUCGGGCGACUUUCCUGCUUAUUGAAGACGUCAAGCCUCACUGAUCGAAGAAGCUCAAGACGGCGUGUUACAUCACAAUACAUGGUGCUCGGGGACUAGCUGUGGGGGUACAAACCCCUAUACCCUUACGGCUAGACUUGGGCCAGGAGGCUUGGCCCAUUACGAGACGAGUUCA
RNAcentral lists this long non-coding RNA (418 nucleotides) under Sorghum bicolor (sorghum). RNAcentral describes it as "long non-coding RNA (SBIC_LNC013850)". Lineage: Eukaryota; Viridiplantae; Streptophyta; Magnoliopsida; Poales; Poaceae. The record is from RNAcentral.